CGCAUUUAGAUUUCAGCUUCUAUCUGGUGACAGUGCCUUCGGCCUCUGAAUUUUGUACGGUGGUCCCCUACUCAACACCUGAAAUGUUCUUUUUAUUUUUGGCAUCCAAGUGCCAUGUGGUUUAAUUCGAGAUAAGCCUGUUUGCAAAUGUUCCAUUUUAAUUAGAGUAGACUCUUCAGAAAUGAAUAUGCUAAUGAAUUAUAUUGCCACUAGCACAAAUGAAAAUCAGAGCACCCUUCUGGCUUGAUGUAUGGCUUGGUUAUAUCCUGAUGGACACGACGGGACCGUGGAUACACCAGACCGCUCUUGAUGGUCAGUGGUGUCUUGCAGAAUCCUCAGCCCUCUGUGACGAGCUUGCUGGAGAUUGGAUCAGGCUGUGCUGUGUGUGUCAAGAUAGGGCAGGAGCACUAGAGAGACAGGGAGACAGGCGCUCUUCAUCAGAAUUGCGAAGGGCACACCAGAAGCCAGCCUGAUGCAAAAUGACACGGGCCAAAUGUGGUGUUUGAGUGUGAUGGUCCUCGAGGUUCCGGGUUCACACAGCCUCCAUGGAUGCCCCCAAACAAGGGAGAGACCAUGCUAACACAGGGACUGUGCAGACAGUGCCCCUCAGAAAGGGAACCUAGAGACACACUCCAGCGCCCCUGGGCACCCUGCGAUGGCCAUUGGCAGUGUCCUCACAGAUGUCCCGGCAGCCUCCCGGCAGUGACCAUGUGCACCUCGAGGGAGGAAGAACUGCAGGUCUCCUGGCCAGACACCUCAGACCGCCCGCCGAGCUGCUGCCCUGGAGCAGAGACUGAGGGAGAUGCCUCUCCCCACUAGACAUUUAGAGCAGUGACAACGCUAUGCCUAGGAUUCCCUGUAGAUCUCACACAUGCAUAUAUGUGCUCUUCAAGCAUAGCCCGUGUUUUCUUACCAUAACCAGUGGUACUAGCAGGCACAGUGGGAGCUCAAGGCAUCUGUGUUAUUCAAGACAAAUUUGAGACACUGGAACAAAGAUACUUGUGUGUGUUGGAUGGAGCGGAGAAGCUAAGCACUGUAGGAGGAGCUCCUGUGACCAGAAGGACUGCCGUGGUGGAUGUCAGGACAAUGAUUGAGGUUGAUGAAGUAUUAGCACUACUGCCUCUCCGUAUCUUAGUUGGUAUUUAAAAUAAUAAAUAAAGAGAGGAGGGAGGUGGCAGUCAGUGUUGUGGGGAAAUCAGGAGUGAAAUGGGGUGGUGACAAGAUCCUAAUCAGUCACAGGUUCGACCAUUUCAGCCUUGGGGCCAUUGCAUUUCCCAUGUGCUGGCCCUGCAUUUCCACCCUCCGUGCUGAGUCUGGCAGAGGACACUUGUCUGUGGGAAAGUGUAUGUUCUGAUUUGGAAAAGAGCUAGUUGAACACUAAGAAAAGCAGGCUUCUUUGUUUAUUCUCAGGACCUUUUUGUAACAGGGCUACAUUCUGCAAACUGCUCACAAAGGAAGACUAUGCGUUUUAACAAAUUACUUAGCCACUGAAUCCUCCCAAUUUGGGCCUGUUUUAUUAAUGUCAGAAGAAUCCCUGAGUAGAUUUGGGGGCCCUAGAUCACUAGGGUACUAAUGCUCUGGAACCUUCUGCUCUCCACCUCCCCUGCCCUAUUCCUCCUCUGCACCAUCCCAGCAAGUAGGUGUCUUUCCGCCUUGGGCCAAGUGACCUCCGCAGGAUGAGUAACUUCAUUUGUUGAGCGUGGAGGUCACCAAGCCCUUGGGUGGGGGAUGGCUUUAUAUACCUCUUCCUCAGUAAUGCAAAUGCAAGUUUUGGUGGUGGGGUUAGGCCCAUAUCAAAGGAUCUUAUACCAUGCAGUGUACGCAAUUUAAAUUGUAUUCUACAGAUAUAAAUAUUUUCUUUUUCUAUUGCCGUGACACUAUGUGUGAUGGUAAUAUUUCUGAGAGUUUCAGAUUUUUGCACAUAUGAUUUUAUGCAUUAUCAAAAGUUACUGCUGCCUUGAAUGAAAAUGUUCUGUGAAAUUUUUUGCAAAAGCUUUACUAGGUUUUUUUAAUUGUGAAAUUUUGUAAAGGCAGGAAAUGAUUAAAAUGAGCAUGCUAAAUAUAUUUUUCAAAAAGCAAUAAUUUUACAUGUACAGAAAUUAUCCUAACCUUUAAUACUGGUGAGAGCGACAGUUUACUUAAUACAGUGAUGGAUUAGUGCAGUUUUUGUAGAAAAUGGGCUUCUGAUACAAAGACUUGUUUAAACACACACCAACACACAAACCCUGAAGUGUGGUUUUCCUGUUCUAAUGAUUUGUUGGAUUAUUAUAUUAUUAUUAUUAUUUUAUUGUUAUUGUUAGUUAAUGUUUGUUUUGAAUUCUACUUGUUACUGAGUUUAAAUUACUUGACAGUUCAGGUGACUGCGACACUUGCAAACAAUGCAAUGUAACUGGCUAGCUUAUAUAUAUAUAUAUAUAUAUAUAUAUAUUAUUUUUUUUACUUAUUUUUCCUGAUAUUCUUACACCGGAUAUGUAUGAGAAUGAGCUAUUGUGUUGGUGUGCUUGGGAAUGUCUGCACAGAUACUGUUAAGCAACUGUCAUGGAUUGUUCUGUGAGGUUAUUUGAGCAAAGUUAUAGAGACACAUUCCUCUGUCCACCUGAGAAAUCAGAACACCCUUCUGUUGAUUUAUGUUUGAUCAUUUUGAUACUUUCCCCAAAGUGAUCAUUUCUGCAUUUUCUGGCUUUUGUUUCCUUGGCUGAAAGUAAACGGUGACAUUUAGGAAUGUGAAGGGACUAGUGAUUCAGUCCUGUCUUUUUUCUCUGUGUUUUAGUUAUUAAAAGAAAUUCUGUACCCAAAGUGACACAAAGGUGUCGUCUACAUUUUUACUGUUUCAGAAGCUGCACGGAAAAGUGCAAUUGGCAUUUAGAGCUGGAAGUGUCUUUUUUCCUCAAAUUUCCUUCCCAGUUGGUCUGGUGGGGAGAGAGGCGCGUGCUGGGCUGCAGCCACAGAGUGCCGUCUGCAUCGGCUUCCAGGAGAGCAGCUGUGAGGAUGGCUGGCUUACAUGGUGAUGUGCCUGCCUCUCAGGGUGCAGAAUGAGGUUUUCAGAGGCGCACAGCCAGGAGGGGCCGGGGAUCGAGACUUCGAGCCCUGCUUCGCGCCGGACUGGAUGGGUGGCCCCCUUCUUCCACUGAGGAUCAGUAUUGUAUUGGUUUGUUAAUUUGUUUGUGUCAGUUCAACCAUAGUAUUUAAUAUGAUUUGUGUUUUCUUAUUUAUUUAGCCAAUAUGUUUUGAUUUGCUUUUUUUUUUCAAAUGAUAAUUUCUGCAUGAUACACUUCUGUAAGUCGCCUUCUGACUGUUACAGACUUUCUACUACCUCUACCAACCUGCUGUCUCCUUGUUUCCUAACAGGAUUUUUACAGUGUUGCGUCUAAUGUAAUUUAGACAAUAAAGGGUUUGGUUGUCUACACUGCAGUGCUCCUUGUGUCUCCCCUGCCCUUCACCUUGCAGUCUCGCAGCAUCCUGGCUCGGCUCGGCUCGGCUCGGCUCGGCUCGGCUCGGCUCGGCUCGGCUCGGCCGGCUCGGCUCGGCUCGGCUCGGCUCGGCUCCUGCCUGGUUUAGCUUGGCCCCUUGCCUUCUCACUGUCACCUUUCUCCCUCCCCACUCAUAUCUCUUCUCAUUUUUGAAUUUAAAUAACACACAAAUAAUGAGCUUCUUAAAAUCUUUCAGGUUAAUUACUUGUAGUCCUUAAUUCAAAGAAUGAACAUUUAAAUUCUCCAAAAAAGCAGAUGUUCAUUGUCUUCUCUGGGAAAUCACCCCCUGUACCUGUACACGUAUUUGCCUGGCUCCUAAAAGUCUCACUGCAAUCUUAGACUGAUGCGUUGCACCUGUGUUGGUACAAUGCAAAUUUCAAGCCAUGUGGAUUUUGCCUUUUUGCUUCUGAAAGUAUCAAGUGUUUUAAGAGGUUUCCCCAGUAUUUAUUUAUUUUUUAAAUCAAGAAAGACACUGGUUUUCUGAAAACAAGGAAAUCCAAUUGGGAGCUACAUGCAGUCACUCCGUAAGUUAAAGGAACAUGAUUUUGUGAUAGGCUGUCAGGAUGCAUCUUCUGACUUGGCUGCUGUGCACCGUGGCUAGGAACUGCUCCAGCAUCUCUGUAAAGCCCUAGCACACAUAGGUCUAACAGCACUACACUCCCUUAGCACACAGAGCUGGGUGCAGCAGUGGGGCAAGUUCCACCUCACUUGGUGGUGGCUCUAUUGCUUCCCGUUCUUUCAACCCAGGAGAGCAAGUACAGUUUACGGGGCAAUGGGGGUGUCUUCCAGAUCACAGAAAGUGGUCCGCAUGGAAGACCACUCAUGCUGCAUGGAAGACAGCACCUCCUGGACUCCCGUGGCCAGAGACUCUCCUUGCAUUGCUUCUUUAGAACAAGACCACCUAUCCCUGAACAAGUCACAAGGUUCAAACCCUGUUGUAGACAGAAGAAGGAUGUUCUGUGUUCAUAAGCUUGACUCUACUUUCACAAUGUCUGAAGUAACAUUUGUUGUUUUACUGCUUUUAACUUUGGUGACUUCUAAUUGCAGAACAUUUUAUUCACUAAGGAGACAACAAUAACAACAAAAAUCCCAGGUGAGGACUUCCAGCAGUGACCAGGUCUUUGUUUGCCAUGGUUCAUGCAAACGCCAGAGCCCUAGGACAUGCCUGUGUGGAGUGACCCCCUGGUCUCCCUGUAAGAGAAAUGUCCAUUCUUUAUCAACUUUGCUAAUAUAUACUUUAAGACAGUAAAAUGCAAAAGACCAUAAAAUUUGUAUUUCUUUUAUAAAAAUACAAUUUAUAACAUUUUGUACUCUUUAUAUUAGAAUUUGUAAUAGAUUGAUGUAUUUAACUCUAUUUCUGAAAAAUAAUUCAAUGUUUCAGUUGUG
RNAcentral lists this long non-coding RNA (4856 nucleotides) under Heterocephalus glaber (naked mole-rat). RNAcentral describes it as "lncRNA (ENSHGLG00000048222.1)". Lineage: Eukaryota; Metazoa; Chordata; Mammalia; Rodentia; Bathyergidae. The record is from RNAcentral.